Molecule: ribosomal RNA, 442 nt
Filed under: uncultured archaeon
Lineage: Archaea
Description: bacterial SSU rRNA
Rfam family: Archaeal small subunit ribosomal RNA
Source: RNAcentral
CUUCUGCCGGACCUGACUGCUAUCGGAUUGAUACUAAGCUAUGCGAGUCAUUGUAGUAAUACAAGGCAGACGGCUCAGUAACGCGUAGUCAACCUACCCUAUGGACGGGGAUAACCUCGGGAAACUGAGAAUAAUACCCGAUAGAACAUUAUGCCUGGAAUGGUUUAUGUUUCAAAUAAUUUAUUGCCGUAGGAUGGGACUGCGGCCUAUCAGUUUGUUGGUGAGGUAAUGGCCCACCAAGACUAUUACAGGUACGGGCUCUGAGAGGAGUAGCCCGGAGAUGGGUACUGAGACACGGACCCAGGCCCUAUGGGGCGCAGCAGGCGAGAAAACUUUGCAAUGUGCGAAAGCACGACAAGGUUAAUCCGAGUGGUUUCUGCUAAAGGAACCUUUUGUCAGUCCUAGAAACACUGAUGAAUAAGGGGUGGGCAAGUUCUGGUGU